UGGGGGAUAUUGCACAAUGGGGGGGAACCCGUGAUGCAGCGACGCCGCGUGGGUGAAGGAGCGUUUCGGCGCGUAAAGCCCUAUCGGCAGGGAAGAAGGAGGACGGUACCUGACUAAGAAGCCCCGGCUAACUACGUGCC
RNAcentral lists this ribosomal RNA (140 nucleotides) under uncultured bacterium. RNAcentral describes it as "partial 16S ribosomal RNA". It matches the Rfam family "Bacterial small subunit ribosomal RNA", at positions 355 to 509 of the family's 1533-position model. The record is from RNAcentral.